GAGUUGAUCCUGGCUCAGAAUCAACGCUGGCGGCGUGCCUAACACAUGCAAGUCGUACGCGAAAGGGGCUUCGGCCCUGAGUAGAGUGGCAAACGGGUGAGUAACACGUGGGUGACCUGCCUUCGAGUGGGGGAUAACGUCCCGAAAGGGACGCUAAUACCGCAUGACAUCCUGCCUUUGGACAGGUGGAGAUCGAAGCUGGGGAUCGCAAGACUUAGCGCUUGAAGAGGGGCCCGCGUCUGAUUAGCUAGUUGGUAGGGUAAUGGCCUACCAAGGCGACGAUCAGUAUCCGGCCUGAGAGGGCGGACGGACACACUGGGACUGAGACACGGCCCAGACUCCUACGGGAGGCAGCAGUGGGGAAUUGUUCGCAAUGGGCGCAAGCCUGACGACGCAACGCCGCGUGGAGGAUGAAGAUCUUCGGGUCGUAAACUCCUGUCGAGCGGGAAGAACACUUACUGGCCUAACACGUCGGUGAGC
RNAcentral lists this ribosomal RNA (480 nucleotides) under uncultured bacterium. RNAcentral's name for it is "bacterial SSU rRNA". It matches the Rfam family "Bacterial small subunit ribosomal RNA", at positions 9 to 478 of the family's 1533-position model. The record is from RNAcentral.